This 294-nucleotide ribosomal RNA is filed under the name uncultured bacterium. RNAcentral describes it as "partial 16S ribosomal RNA". It matches the Rfam family "Bacterial small subunit ribosomal RNA", at positions 335 to 627 of the family's 1533-position model. The record is from RNAcentral.
UGCCUACGGGACGCAGCAGUGAGGAAUAUUGGUCAAUGGCCGGCAGGCUGCACCAGCCAAGUCGCGUGAGGGAAUAAGGCCCUAUGGGUCGUAAACCUCUUUUGUCAGGGAGCAAAGGCGUCCACGUGUGGACGAGAGGAGAGUACCUGAAGAAAAAGCAUCGGCUAACUCCGUGCCAGCAGCCGCGGUAAUACGGAGGAUGCGAGCGUUAUCCGGAUUUAUUGGGUUUAAAGGGUGCGUAGGCGGCGAGGCCAGUCAGCGGUCAAAUUUCGGGGCUCAACACCGUCGUGCCGU